CCCCUCUCAGGGUCGCACCUGGAGAGUUUCUGCUACACUACCAGUCUUGUCUAUGGGAUGGAGAGUCAAGCAGAGGUCUACCCAUUCCAUUCCUAGCUUGGGCAGUGGCUAGCGAGUAGAAGGCAAUCUGCUACAAGU
Molecule: non-coding RNA, 138 nt
Organism: Ornithorhynchus anatinus (platypus)
Lineage: Eukaryota; Metazoa; Chordata; Mammalia; Monotremata; Ornithorhynchidae
Source: Rfam